GAACGCACCUUGCGCUCCUUGGUAUUCCGAGGAGCAUGCCUGUUUGAGUGUCAUUAAAUUCUCAAUCCCCUUCAAUUUUGUAUUGUUGGGUGAUGGACUAUGGGAGCCUGCUGGCAUUGUUCAGCUCUCCUCAAAUGUAUUAGCAGGGUAAUAUGCCAUCUGUGCUUGGUAUGAUAUUUAUCUAUACCUCAUGUGCUCAUGUCUUACUUGCUUCAAACUGUUGCUUCAAGCAACACUUUUUGACCAUUUGACCUCAAAUCAGGUAGGACUACCCGCUGAACUUAAG
Molecule: unclassified non-coding RNA, 286 nt
Filed under: Pluteus atromarginatus
Lineage: Eukaryota; Fungi; Basidiomycota; Agaricomycetes; Agaricales; Pluteaceae
Description: sequence contains 5.8S rRNA gene
Rfam family: 5.8S ribosomal RNA (bases 1-53)
Source: RNAcentral